Molecule: non-coding RNA, 24 nt
Filed under: Arabidopsis thaliana (thale cress)
Lineage: Eukaryota; Viridiplantae; Streptophyta; Magnoliopsida; Brassicales; Brassicaceae
Source: RNAcentral
AGGAAGAGUUCAGUGUCGAACAUG